Molecule: ribosomal RNA, 492 nt
Filed under: uncultured bacterium
Lineage: Bacteria
Description: partial 16S ribosomal RNA
Rfam family: Bacterial small subunit ribosomal RNA
Source: RNAcentral
AGUGAACGCUGGCGGUAGGCCUAACACAUGCAGGUCGAACGGCAGCACAGUAAGAGCUUGCUCUUACGGGUGGCGAGUGGCGGACGGGUGAGGAAUACAUCGGAAUCUACUUUUUCGUGGGGGAUAACGUAGGGAAACUUACGCUAAUACCGCAUACGACCUACGGGUGAAAGCAGGGGAUCUUCGGACCUUGCGCGAUUAAAUGAGCCGAUGUCGGAUUAGCUAGUUGGCGGGGUAAAGGCCCACCAAGGCGACGAUCCGUAGCUGGUCUGAGAGGAUGAUCAGCCACACUGGAACUGAGACACGGUCCAGACUCCUACGGGAGGCAGCAGUGGGGAAUAUUGGACAAAGGGCGCAAGCCUGAUCCAGCCAUACCGCGUGGGUGAAGAAGGCCUUCGGGUUGUAAAGCCCUUUUGUUGGGAAAGAAAAGCAGCAGGUUAAUACCCCGCUGUUCUGACGGUACCCAAAGAAUAAGCACCGGCUAACUUCGUG